This 346-nucleotide ribosomal RNA is filed under the name uncultured bacterium. RNAcentral describes it as "bacterial SSU rRNA". It matches the Rfam family "Bacterial small subunit ribosomal RNA", at positions 32 to 383 of the family's 1533-position model. The record is from RNAcentral.
AAUCAACGCUGGCGGCGUGCCUAACACAUGCAAGUCGCACGAGAAAGGGACUUCGGUCCUGAGUACAGUGGCGCACGGGUGAGUAACACGUGAAUAAUCUACCUUCGAGUGGGGAAUAACUGAGAGAAAUCUUAGCUAAUACCGCAUAAUACCCACGGGUCAAAGCAGCGAUGCGCUUGAAGAGGAGUUCGCGGCAGAUUAGUUAGUUGGCAGGUAAUGGCCACCAAGACGAUGAUCUGUAUCCGGCCUGAGAGGGCGCACGGACACACUGGAACUAGAAACACGGUCCAGACUCCGUACGGGAGGCAGCAGGUGGGGUAAUUUUGCGCAAGUACGGGGGAAACCC